AUUAACUUCAGACCAGUGAGCUCCAGAUAAGGCAUGGCCCUUUGGUGGUUCAGCCCUUCUCUCCAACCAUGCAUUAUCUUGGCCAGAGGCCAACAGUUCAGGAAUAAACUUUUCUCCCUUGCCUGAAUAC
This is a long non-coding RNA of Perognathus longimembris pacificus (Pacific pocket mouse), 130 nucleotides long. RefSeq lists it as uncharacterized. The record is from RefSeq and is a predicted model, not a curated record. NCBI's taxonomy places the organism in Eukaryota, Metazoa, Chordata, Mammalia, Rodentia, Heteromyidae. The transcript has 4 exons.